This 73-nucleotide transfer RNA is filed under the name Halorubrum phage GNf2. RNAcentral describes it as "tRNA-Thr". It matches the Rfam family "tRNA". From Rfam's summary of the family: Transfer RNA (tRNA) molecules are approximately 80 nucleotides in length. Their secondary structure includes four short double-helical elements and three loops (D, anti-codon, and T loops). The record is from RNAcentral. Lineage: Duplodnaviria; Heunggongvirae; Uroviricota; Caudoviricetes; Thumleimavirales; Soleiviridae.
GCCAGUGUAGCUCAGUUGAUAGAGCAGUUCCCUUGUAAGGAACAGGUCGGGGGUUUGAAUCCCUUCACUGGCU